GGGGGGGCUCAGGGUAAAGACCCUCCAGGGAAGGUGUCCUGCUUCUGGCUACUAUCCCGUGUCUGGUCAUGGGAACCUUACCCUGUGAGGAAACAUCCACAGAGAAUGAGUCUAGGCACCCACCUGUGCACCUGAGCUCCUCCAGCCAAGGGAGGAGCCAGAAGCAGCCACAGCAAGAUAUUGCUGGAUCCCAGCUUUGUUCCUCCGCUGCCCAGGAGUCUCAGGCACAGCUCAGCUGGCAGGAAAGGCCGACUCCUUCCCUGCUUCCCGCUCUGCCUCUGCCAGGCUCUGGGUAUCAAGCUUUUCCUGGAGUCAUUUUUAUGCCCACUCGCUUCCUGUGCAUAAUUCUGUGCCAUGGUACAGGUCUGUGUGUAAUGAAAGCUAUGCUGGAACUUGUGCAGAAAGCAGGCUGAGGACCCUCCCAUGGGCCUCUUCCCACUCACCACCGGAUGGCCAACAGUUGAACACCAG
This 471-nucleotide long non-coding RNA is filed under the name Heterocephalus glaber (naked mole-rat). RNAcentral's name for it is "lncRNA (ENSHGLG00000035807.1)". Lineage: Eukaryota; Metazoa; Chordata; Mammalia; Rodentia; Bathyergidae. The record is from RNAcentral.